Molecule: ribosomal RNA, 241 nt
Filed under: uncultured bacterium
Lineage: Bacteria
Description: partial 16S ribosomal RNA
Rfam family: Bacterial small subunit ribosomal RNA
Source: RNAcentral
UAGCGUUGUUCGGAAUUACUGGGCGUAAAGCGCGCGUAGGCGGCUUUGUAAGUUAGAGGUGAAAGCCCGGGGCUCAACUCCGGAACUGCCUUUAAGACUGCAUCGCUUGAAUCCGGGAGAGGUGAGUGGAAUUCCGAGUGUAGAGGUGAAAUUCGUAGAUAUUCGGAAGAACACCAGUGGCGAAGGCGGCUCACUGGACCGGUAUUGACGCUGAGGCACGAAAGCGUGGGGAUCAAACAGG